CCCCGGUGAACAUUCAACGCUGUCGGUGAGUUUGAGCUAAAUUGACAAAAACCAUCGACCGUUGAGUGUACCCUGUGG
Non-coding RNA from Salmo salar (Atlantic salmon), 78 nucleotides. Lineage: Eukaryota; Metazoa; Chordata; Actinopteri; Salmoniformes; Salmonidae. The record is from Rfam.